AUUGAACGCUAGCGGCAUGCUUUACACAUGCAAGUCGAACGAGUGGCGGACGGGUGAGUAAUAUAUCGGAACGUUCCCAGUAGAGGGGGAUAACUACUGGAAACAGAGCUAAUACCGCCUACUAUUGGAUCAGCCCAUAUGGGAUUAUCUAGUUGGGGGGGUAACGGCUCACCAAGGCGACGAUCCGUAGCUGGUUUGAGAGGAUGACCAGCAAAACUGGGACUGAGACACGGCACAGACUCCUACGGGAGGCAGCAGUGGGGAAUAUUGGACAAUGGGCGAAACCCUGAUGCAGCCAUGCCGCGUGUAUGAAGAAGGCCUUAGGGUUGUAAAGUACUUUUGGCAGAGAGGCGGUAUCUGCAGAAGAAGCACCGGCUAACUACGUGCCAGCAGCCGCGGUAAUAG
RNAcentral lists this ribosomal RNA (405 nucleotides) under uncultured bacterium. RNAcentral describes it as "partial 16S ribosomal RNA". It matches the Rfam family "Bacterial small subunit ribosomal RNA", at positions 30 to 526 of the family's 1533-position model. The record is from RNAcentral.